Molecule: ribosomal RNA, 1504 nt
Filed under: Streptococcus pneumoniae
Lineage: Bacteria; Bacillati; Bacillota; Bacilli; Lactobacillales; Streptococcaceae
Description: bacterial SSU rRNA
Rfam family: Bacterial small subunit ribosomal RNA
Source: RNAcentral
UUUUUGUUCAGGACGAACGCUGGCGGGUGCCUAAUACAUGCAAGUAGAACGCUGAAGGAGGAGCUUGCUUCUCUGGAUGAGUUGCGAACGGGUGAGUAACGCGUAGGUAACCUGCCUGGUAGCGGGGGAUAACAUUGGAAACGAUAGCUAAUACCGCAUAAGAGUGGAUGUUGCAUGACAUUUGCUUAAAAGGUGCACUUGCAUCACUACCAGAUGGACCUGCGUUGUAUUAGCUAGUUGGUGGGGUAACGGCUCACCAAGGCGACGAUACAUAGCCGACCUGAGAGGGUGAUCGGCCACACUGGGACUGAGACACGKCCCAGACUCCUACGGGAGGCAGCAGUAGGGAAUCUUCGGCAAUGGACGGAAGUCUGACCGAGCAACGCCGCGUGAGUGAAGAAGGUUUUCGGAUCGUAAAGCUCUGUUGUAAGAGAAGAACGAGUGUGAGAGUGGAAAGUUCACACUGUGACGGUAUCUUACCAGAAAGGGACGGCUAACUACGUGCCAGCAGCCGCGGUAAUACGUAGGUCCCGAGCGUUGUCCGGAUUUAUUGGGCGUAAAGCGAGCGCAGGCGGUUAGAUAAGUCUGAAGUUAAAGGCUGUGGCUUAACCAUAGUAGGCUUGGAAACUGUUUAACUUGAGUGCAAGAGGGGAGAGUGGAAUUCCAUGUGUAGCGGUGAAAUGCGUAGAUAUAUGGAGGAACACCGGUGGCGAAAGCGGCUCUCUGGCUUGUAACUGACGCUGAGGCUCGAAAGCGUGGGGAGCAAACAGGAUUAGAUACCCUGGUAGUCCACGCUGUAAACGAUGAGUGCUAGGUGUUAGACCCUUUCCGGGGUUUAGUGCCGUAGCUAACGCAUUAAGCACUCCGCCUGGGGAGUACGACCGCAAGGUUGAAACUCAAAGGAAUUGACGGGGGCCCGCACAAGCGGUGGAGCAUGUGGUUUAAUUCGAAGCAACGCGAAGAACCUUACCAGGUCUUGACAUCCCUCUGACCGCUCUAGAGAUAGAGUUUUCCUUCGGGACAGAGGUGACAGGUGGUGCAUGUGUCGUCAGCUCGUGUCGUGAGAUGUUGGGUUAAGUCCCGCAACGAGCGCAACCCCUAUUGUUAGUUGCCAUCAUUCAGUUGGGCACUCUAGCGAGACUGCCGGUAAUAAACCGGAGGAAGGUGGGGAUGACGUCAAAUCAUCAUGCCCCUUAUGACCUGGGCUACACACGUGCUACAAUGGCUGGUACAACGAGUCGCAAGCCGGUGACGGCAAGCUAAUCUCUUAAAGCCAGUCUCAGUUCGGAUUGUAGGCUGCAACUCGCCUACAUGAAGUCGGAAUCGCUAGUAAUCGCGGAUCAGCACGCCGCGGUGAAUACGUUCCCGGGCCUUGUACACACCGCCCGUCACACCACGAGAGUUUGUAACACCCGAAGUCGGUGAGGUAACCGUAAGGAGCCAGCCGCCUAAGGUGGGAUAGAUGAUUGGGGUGAAGUCGUAACAAGGUCAGCCGUUUGGGAGA